This 145-nucleotide unclassified non-coding RNA is filed under the name uncultured Helotiales. RNAcentral describes it as "sequence contains ITS2". Lineage: Eukaryota; Fungi; Ascomycota; Leotiomycetes; Helotiales. The record is from RNAcentral.
CAACCCUCAAGCACUGCUUGGUAUUGGGCUCCGCUGGUUUCAGCGGGCCUCAAAAUCAGUGGCAGCGCCGCCUGAGCUCUGAGCGUAGUAAAUACCCUCGCUAUAGAGACCCGGUGGCUCUCGUCAUCAACCCCCAACUUUCUAA